Oreochromis aureus is the source of this 570-nucleotide long non-coding RNA. NCBI's taxonomy places the organism in Eukaryota, Metazoa, Chordata, Actinopteri, Cichliformes, Cichlidae. The record is from Ensembl.
UGCCUCGGAGUGACACAAGGUCUGACAACUCCCAUUCAAAGUCUAUGGGGAGGUUUUGAAAUUCAGAGCUGAAAUUCUGUAACGGAGGCAUUUUAAAAUCGCCAUAUCUCUUGAACAAAGCAAAGUUAGGACAUGAGGCUUGUGCCAAUAUAUCUUCAGACACUGCUGACACUCACAGUGGAAGCAGUUUUUACAAUUAUCUUACCGUUGAGCAAUGAAUUACGUUUGUUUGAGGGGUGGAAAUCUGUCCUUCUCUCAGUCUUCAAACUCUGGAAAUGAAGCCGUUUCUUCUCUCGUCAUAUCUCCGCGGCGGAGGUAGAACGAGCUAUGAAAAUCGCAGUCAAAAUACACCAAAGUCCGCUGAUUCACCCAGUACAAGAAUUAUGCUGCUAGCCCUCCUAGUUUUUGAGUUACACGACGUUUUGUAACUCCAAAAAACGGCGUUUUUCGCCUCUCACCGCGAUCUAUUUUCUGACUGCCCAAGUAUCUGUCUUUCAGACCGCCGCCCCCUUUCCAGGUGGCGCAAUCAGUAAUGACACGGCUCUGCAGCUCAAAGGUCGUGGGUUCAAU